AGCGAACGCUGGCGGCAGGCCUAACACAUGCAAGUCGAACGAACCUUUCGGGGUUAGUUGCGGACGGGUGAGUAACACGUGGGAACGUGCCUUUAGGUUCGGAAUAUCUCAGGUAAACUUGUGCUAAUACCUAAUGUUCCCUUCGGGGGAAAGUUUACUCGGCUUUAGAGGGGCCGGCGUCUGAUUAGCUAUUUGGUUGAGGUAAUGGCUCACCAAGGCCUCGAUCAGUAGUUGGUCGGAGAGGAUGUUCAGACACAUUGGGACUGAGACACGGCACAAACUACUACGGGAGGCAGGAGGGGGGAAUCAUGCGCAAAGGGCGAAAGCCUGACGGAGGCAUGCGGGGUGAAUGAUGAAGGUCUUAGGAAAGUAAAAUUCUUUCACCGGGGACGAUAAUGACGGUACCCGGAGAAGAAGCCCCGGCUAACUACGUG
RNAcentral lists this ribosomal RNA (434 nucleotides) under uncultured bacterium. Its description in RNAcentral is "partial 16S ribosomal RNA". It matches the Rfam family "Bacterial small subunit ribosomal RNA", at positions 29 to 507 of the family's 1533-position model. The record is from RNAcentral.